RNAcentral lists this ribosomal RNA (367 nucleotides) under Philothamnus hughesi. Its description in RNAcentral is "partial large subunit ribosomal RNA". It matches the Rfam family "Bacterial large subunit ribosomal RNA", at positions 1909 to 2494 of the family's 2925-position model. The record is from RNAcentral. Lineage: Eukaryota; Metazoa; Chordata; Lepidosauria; Squamata; Colubridae.
CCAGUGAAUAAUUCAACGGCCGCGGUAUCCUAACCGUGCAAAGGUAGCAUAAUCAUUUGUCUACUAAUUAUAGACCAGUAUGAAAGGCAAAAUGAGGGUCUAACUGUCUCUUAUAAUCAAUCAAUUAAACUGAUCUCCCAGUAAAAAAGCUGGGAUACUGCCAUAAGACCAGAAGACCCUGUGAAGCUUAAACUACACUAUUAAAUCUCAUAAUAGCUACUUUCGGUUGGGGCGACCUUGGAAAGAAAAAGAACUUCCAAACUUAUAACUACUCCAUAUUUUACCCUAGGCCCACAAGCCACUAACGACCCAGCAUAGCUGAUAACUGAACCAAGUUACUCCAGGGAUAACAGCGCAAUCCUCUUCA